GACAACUCGCGGGGAUUGUUUUCCACACCGUGGAAGCUUUGUUCUUUUCGUUUUUUGCAAUAAAUCUUGUUGCUGCUCGCUUUUUGGGUCCACAUUGCUUUUAUGAGCUGUACCACUCACCGUGAAGAUCUGCAGCUUCACUUCAGAGCCUAGCGAGACCACAAGCUCACUGAGAGGAACAAACAACUCCAGACGCGCUGUCUUAAGAGCUAUAACACUCACCGCGAAGGUGUGCAGUUUCACUCCUGAGCUAGUGAGACUACGAAGCCACUGGAACGAAGAAACUCCAACCACGUUUGAACAUCAGAAGGGGCAGACUCCAGACGCUUCAUCUUAAGAGCUGUAACACUCACUGUGAAGGUCUGCAGCUUCACUCCUGAGCCAGCGAGACCACGAACCGAUCUGAACAUCAGAAGGGACAGACUCCAGAUGCCCCACCUUAAGAGCUGUAAUACUCACUGCAAGGGUCUGCAGCUUCAUUCUUGAAGUCAGACCAAGAACCCAGCAAUUCCCAACACACAGGGACCAGCUUCUUUCCUAACUCACUUAGGCUCUUCGUGCUGCUCUGGCAACUAACACCCUUGGCUGCAGGGGCUUGGACACUACCCUUAGUCACUGACAAUUGUGUGAAGGCUGCUGUCGUUAACUUCACUUGAUCACCUUAGGCUCCUGUGAAGUGGUGAGCAAUUCAAACAAAUUCCUGUCGUCAAAUCAUGUAAGUCACCUAAGUUUUCCUAUUUAAAAAGCGCUUUCAGCAUGCACUAUUUAUGGGCUGAGGAAUCAUUCCUUCUUUGUUUUGUUACAAAUGCUCAUUUUCAUGUAUGAGGCCUUCCUAAAGUGAAAAAUGCACAGUGUAAACAUUGCCUAGUCCCGCCUGUGGUGAUUCCUGCAGAAUUGACACUCCCCAGCACUUCCCUUGUGGGGAGGCACACGAGCAUAAGCUACCUGGUAAUGGAGCUGACUGUGGGCUCCUUCAUAAGCAUACAGUUCUCGUGGCUGUGACAUUUAUUAAUAGAAGUAUACCUGGGGGUGUUGGCAGCCAAACUGCCCUGAGCAAUGUGUCCUAACCUUCACUAGUUUCUCCUGUUGGGGAUAGAACAUAUUCUUGGGUUUCAUUUUAGAAGCAUUCUGUCAAAUUACAAGCCUUUUUAUUGCAACUAAAAUUUCUGUCCUGUGUUCUCUGUGCCUUCUGCAGACCAAUAUUCUCCUCUAGGCCCAAGGACUUAAAAUGCAGACUGUAUUAUUUUUCAGCAUGUCAAGGCCAACAGAUGAGGAGGUGGCUGCCAUUGAAAAGAUAGUUUGCUAUACAGGCAGAUCCCAAGUCGAGGGGGCACAUAUGCCCUGGGGAGCCAUGUGAGAAGUACCAGGGUAGGUCAGGAGGCAGAAGGAGCAGGGGAAGGCAUAGCAAGUGUCUUUAUUGUGGUUUCUGUGCGGAGGAGAUAGGGAGCCAGACUAAGCAGUUUCAAAGAUUGGUCAGUUUGAUAAUUUCAGCAGGCUCCGCGGACUAGGGGCUGUCCCUAGUUGUCUUGUACCUGGUCCUGGGGUGAUUAGGGUAGAUGGAUGGUGGCCCAGAGUAUGAAAGCCAGUAAGGGUGGUUGGAUGUGGGCUCAUGGAUGGAUUGGUGUGCAUGUGUCAAGCAAACUAGCAGACGAGUCCUUUAUCAUCUCUAGGAACUGGCUAAUUCCUAGGACAGUCCAAGGUCAGCAUGACCCCAUAAUGUCAAAGCAUCAAAUACAGAAACUAGAAACCAUGGUGAUGACACACACCAAUCGCUGUGGACCCCUGAUUGAUGGAGAGAUUUGAUUUUAUCUGUUGCGGGAACACAAAACCAAACGUGGCAUGCCUGUAUGCUUCAUGCAAAAGACCUUCCAACAUGAACAAGGCUCUGUGCAGAUAUCAGUGUUGCUUUUUAAAAUCUGAAUGGGUGAUACAUUCCUGCGGUCCAAAAAUUAAAAAGCUUUGAAAGGUUUUGUAGAAAGUAUCACUCUGCUUCCUGUCCUUAUUCUACCCCCCAAAAUUGAUUAAUUUCUGGUAUAUCCUGCCAAUAUUUCUUCAUGUAAAUGCCAACUGAAUGUAAGCAUACACUUCUCAGACAAUAGCUAAAAGAAUUCCUCUGGAGCCUAUAUAAUUUAGCAUUCAUGGUCAAUAAUAACGUGUCUUGAAGCUAUAUCUAUAUUUUCAUCUGUCUAUCUCUUAUCUACCUGAAGCACUUCGGAAAUAGAUGAUCUGCUCAAACUUGAUAAGUUUUGCUUCUAAAGGGCUUGGUUGAUGUGCAGUACAUCAUAUCUUAAAUAAGUAAUUUUAUUAGGAUUCUGGGCAAAGCAUUACACUUCCUGUUAUUCGCUCCUGUUUUGGGGGUGGAGGUGAGGAUGGGGUGGUGGGGAGGUGGCCAAGGGUGGUGAAUUUGCCACAGGCCAAGGGGAUGCUCUUGGUCUUGCAGAUCGUAACCUGGAGAGCAAAUUUCUCUCCUGUGGGCACACUCAUAUUAAACAGUCUUGAGGCAGAUGUCCAAACACCAAAAUAGCUGCCCAUUUAUGUAUGUACAAUAGAAAUAACUGACCCCAAAAUCAGAAUACUUCGAAAUCAUGUCCUGCCAGAGUAUUUACUCCCUACAAGUGGGGAAAGUCAAAUAGUGAUCUAAAUCUGGCUCUGCUAAUACAGAAAAUGUAAUAGAGGGAAUUAAUUACAUUAAUGCCACUGGAAAUAUUAUUGUGUAAAGACUUUGGAGUUUUCAGAGGGCAUUUUCACACCAAAAAAAAAAAUCAAUAAGCAAUUUUAAAAAGUGACUAUACCAUGCUUUUUCUUUCUCUCUGUGGACGAGUGAAAACUUGACAUAGGCAAUGAGUUUAUUGGAAAUCUCUGAGUUGAAUGAAGAGACAACAGGAGUGAAUUCACCCAUGGAAGUCUAAGCCAUAGCAUCUCUUAUGUCAGAGUGGCCUUGCCUAUAGUGUGACUGAAAUGUUCAGAUGUGGGUUAGGAGGGAGGACCCUCUUCCUAGUCUUAGAGUCCCAGCUCACCAGGGAAACAUUUCUCCAGGAGGAGUGUUGAUGGUGGGAAGACAGGGCACUUAGAUUUCCGUGCUCUGUGUCCUCUUGGAUGGAACUAUUAUGGCUGACUGCUGGAUUAGACACUCAAAAGUUGGUUGGCUUGUUCUAGAUUCCUCUCCACCAGGUAGUGCUUGAUAGGCAAUGAACAAGUUUGCUUCUGCAAUGCUACUGUGGCUGACUGCCCUUCCCCUAACACAUUCUUCCUUAGACACUUCAGUACAUUUAGACAGGUCUUACAGCCAAGAUUCAAGAUCCAUUCUUUCUAUUCAAAAAUAAUUUGAACAUAUCAUUUAUUCUAAUCAAGUGUCAAUUUUGGAAUAUAACAUACAAAUAGCAAUAUUUUAUUAUGAUUUUAUUAUUGUUUUUAAUGUUAGGGUCUCAUUCUGUCGCCUAGGCUGGAGUGCAAUGGCGUGAUUAUGGCUCACUGCAGCCUUGACCUCCUGGACCCAGGUGAUCCUCCCACUUUAGCCUUUCAAGUAGCUGGGACUACAGGUGUGUGCCACAAUACCCGGCUAAUUUUUUAAAAAUUUUAAUAAAGACAGGGUCUUGCUAUGUUGUUCAUGCUGGUCUAGAACCCUGGGCCUCAAGAAGUCCUCCUGCCUCAGCCUCCCAAAAUGCUGGGGCCAAGAAGAAAGAACAGAUCUGGAGGUGGAGAUUUUGGAGGAUCAUAACAAAAGAGGAAAUAUGUAAAGCCAUGAGACUGGACUUGAUCACUACGAGAGCAGGUAUAGAUAGAAAGGAGUUCUGAGGACUGAGCCCUAGAGCCUCCCUAAUAUUAAGAGGUGCCAGCAAAGCAGAGUGAGGCACAUGUGAGCUUGGGUUACGCAGCAAAUGCUAACUGAUACAAGGGCCAAUUUCCUUCAUGUGCAAAGAACUCCUCCUCCUCUUUCUUAUUCAAAGAACCCCUAUGAAUCAAUAAGUAAAAUAAUAAAAGGAGAGUGAGAAGUGCCAGGGAAUAUGAGAAAAGUGAGGAGAAUGAGGAGUCUUGGAAGCCAAAUGAAGAAAGUGUUUCAAGGAACAGCCAAAGAUCAGCGCAUAAGAGAUAGUUAUUAUACCUACGAUGAGGGUGGGAAAAGAAUGCCAGAUUUGAACACAGCAGAAGUCACUGUCAACCUUCACAAGAGCAAUUUUAGUGGAGUGAUGAGGGCAGCAAAGACAUGAUUGGAAUAAAAAGGUGUAUAGUAAAAAUUCUCCUUCUCCCUCCUAUCAAUCAUCUGCUCAUUUCCCAGAACCCCUACCCCCACCCAGGGAACCACUUUUAUUAAUUUCUUAUUUAUACAUUGAGAGUUUUUAUGCAAAUAUAAGUAUACAUGGAAAAUAUAUAUUCUCACUCUGUGGUUUUCAAAUUUAAAAGUUAGCAUUCUAUGUAUACUUCUCUAUACCUUGCUAUUUUUCCUAAGCUAUCUUAAGGCUCUUUCCUAUCUGUUCUUAAAGAGCUUCCUCAUUCUUGGUUGGCUUCUGUACAGUGGUUCAUUGUGGACAUGCCCUGACCAGUUCCCUGUUGAUAGACGUGGGCUGUUUCCAAUGUUUUAUUGAUUAUACAAACAAUUCUUCAGUGAAUGACCUUUUCACAAUACAUGUGUGGGUAUAUUUAUAGGGCAAUUCUUCCAAAGUGGAUUUCUGGGUCCAAGGGUAGAUGAUAAUUUGGUAGAUGUUGCAAAUUUCCACAGUUUGCAUUUCCAUCAGCAACAUGUGUGAAUACAGUUAAGUCUCUAUUGAUGGAAAGUGAGAUUAUUUCAAAUAUUUUGCCAUUGCAAAAUAAGCAGCAAAGGAUACACCUGAAUAUUCAAAAAUUUCUUAUGCAUGAGAAUAUAUUUGCAGAAUAGAGAUCCUGAUUGAUUUGUAGGGGUUCUUUCUAUUAUCAUGUGAAGGAAAUUAGCCCUUAUAUCAGUUAGCUUUUACUGUAUGAGACAAGCUCCAAAGUGGACGGCUAAACAGCUGUUUAUUCAGCUGCUGGUUCUUUGGGCCUGCAAUAUGGGUUGGGAUUAGCUGGGUGGUUCUGCUCUUUGGGGCCAGGGUAGGCUGAUCUUGGCUGGCCUUGUUGAGGAACAGCUAGGGUGGGAGUGCUCAGCUGGGUGGUUUUUUUCUUUCUGCUCCAUGUGGUCAAUCAGCCUCCAUCUAGCUGGCCUAGGCUUUUUCACAAGGCAACUCAUGGUUCAAGAGCAGUCAGGCCAAAUGCCCUUGCACAAGUGCUUUUCAAGCCUCUGCAUCACAUUUGUACUAUCCCAUUGGCUGAGGUGAGUCAAGUCCAGUGUCCAUGUGGUAAGACACUACCCAAGGGCAUGGAUACAGGGAAGCAUGAACAAAUCGGGGUCAUUACUGCGAUCAAUCUAUGGUGGCCCACAAAGGCCUAAUCUUAAUUCUCUGUCAUAAGUAUUUUGGGUUAUCACUCUAAUUUGUUUAUUGAUAAAGCAAGGGACUGUGCUAGAAGUGGCAAUGAUCCUUGAAGCAGCUGAUCACAACAGUUUCAGUUCUGGAAUAUGAGCUUCCUUAGAGUGAAGGUCUUGCCUUCUGUAGAGAGACCACUCGUGAUGGUGACAGCCAUGAGGACCAGGUGCAGGACUAUGCAGGACGUGGAAUGGCCUCACUUUUGUGGCUUUAAAAAUAAAUUUUUAUUUUCCAAAGCAGUCCUCUUUCCUUCACUCAAACGGAGCUUAAUGACCAGGUAUCCCUCUGGCAUUCCACACAACCCAGCAGGACAGGUUUGAUCUCUGCUGAUUUCAGCUGCUAAUGUGUUUCAGUGGAAACAGACUGCAUCCAAGCCAGGACCUUCAGAAUCACGCUGGGACAGUCAGGUGACUGAAGAGAAAUUUUGACUCAUUGAAAAUAGUCUUCUUGACCCUUGUUCCCAUCUAAUUUAUAUUUUUCAUUUCAUAAAUGGAGUUGACUGAGUCAGCCCAGGAGCUUGCUAUUUUGGGGAGAAAAGUCUAUGAUAAAAUCCAUGAAAUUAGUCCUCUGAGAGUGUGGGCAGAGAGGUGACAGUGACUGUGCAACCCCUGAGGCAUGAGUGUUUCUGUGAUGUGAUGCUGUCACCCACAUGCAGGCCUGAGGAACCAAGGAGAGCCCUUGACAGCGGGCAGGAAGAGGAGGAGAAAGAAGUGACUUUUAUUGAGCACCUACUGCAUUCCAAGCACUGCACAAGGCACUGUGUGUACAGAGACACAUAAGAUGCUGUCUCAGUCCUGAAUAGACAUCAGCUAGCAUGAAGAAAUCCCACAAAAACACAGUAUCAAGAAGGAAGAGGAGAAGGUGGAGCCAGAUAGAGAAGGAGGAAAAAUAAACAAACGGAAUUACAGCAAAACAAGGGUAGUGAGAAGGUACGUCAAAGACCAACUACCUGGUGGGGUAUUGGAAGAUUUUAACCACUGUCCAAAGAGGCCCUGACUAUUUCAGUCUCUGGUUCGCCUGCAGAUAGCAUCAACUCAUGGAGAGUUUGAGUUUCAAAUCCACUCCUAGUUGCAAGGGCAGGAUCCACAGCCUGUUUAUCCGAGACUGCUCUGCACUUCCUGCUCAGAUUUGAGAGUUAGUUAUGUGGCCUGGAAACUUCUUUCUCUAAGCUAAACUCCUUUGGCAUGUGAUUUGCAUCCAGACAAGAGCUGAGCAGCUUAAAGUCCCAGGAACUCCUUCAGGGGCGCUUGGAUCUUAUUAAAUGAGAUCAGAGCCCUGGUGUGUCCUGCUCAGUGCCAGCAUUCCCACCCUGAAAAGAUGCCUUGCACACAGAAGGCGAGAAACAACCAUGCGUUGAGCGAGUGUGUCAUUGUGUCUGGAACAGGCUAACGCCUUUCCCAAGCACCCAGGGUACCCCAGGGAGUCUGAAUUUUCUCUGGAAAUGACCCCUUCAUUCUUUCCCAGCUUGAUCUUCAGUAGUCCCAGGGUGGCCGUGAGAGGGUAUUUGCUCCUCUCCUUCACUGGAAUUUCUCCUCCCGCUCACCAGAAAGAAGAAUGAGGAAGUGUACAUGACAGAUUCUCUGGGUCUGGCUUAUUUGUUCAAGGAACACAUUUGGGCCAGCACCCAAGGAUAAGGGACAGCCCUGCCAGGCUCCCCUGGGGACUGUGGAGGGCAGGGUGUUUGGUUUCUGGGCUCAUCAAAAGCAAGGUGGCAGUUGAGAUUUGGAAGAUCCCAGCUCAUCCAGUGGGCAGCAGCCAGAUGGCAGGAGUUUCCCCACUGAGCAGGUGGGCUGUGGUCUGGGUCUCUGGAAGUCACACAGACCUGGCCUGGGGGGCACUGGCUCUGUUCUGCCCCUGCCCUGUGCUCAUGCGGAGGCUGGGCUUCCGACUGGCUUUGCUGGAGCACCCAGGAACCUGAUGGGUAGAGCCUGGCCUGGACCAGCCUUGUUCUGUGUGAAGCCCUGAUGCCUGGCCUUUCUUCUGUCAGGGAUCCUACUCCCAUAUUUCAUGCUGGAGUGUGUGCCCUCUCCAAGCCCAUUGCCCCCAGAACCACUGCCCCGUCAUCCAUCAAGCACAAUGUUGCGUCACCAGGAGUGGGGCUCCUGAUGGAUUCAUUACUUCAUAUGUCGGGUUUACAAACCUGUACCUCCCUAUCUAUCUCUCUCUCUCCCCCCCUCCCCCCCUUUCUGUAACACACACACACACACACACACACACACACACACACACACACACACAGAGAUCUCAGAACCCACACCACCCAUUCUGUGUGGCUGGCUCUAUCACAGUGAGCUAGAAGCCAGUUUUGGAGAUGAAUUGACUGGAGCAUCUCUACAAAGUUAUGUUUUCACAAUUUUUUUUUAAGAGACAGUGUCUUUCUGUGGCCCAGGCUGGAGUACAGUGGUGCCAUCACAGCUCACUGCAGCCUCAACCUCCUUGGCUCAAGCGAUCCUCCCACCUCAGUCUUCUGAGUAGCUGGGACUAACAGGUACAUGCCACCAUGCACAUCUAACAGGCUUGACUAGAUUUCUUCAUUGACUUUAUUAUCUUCUUGAUAAUCAAUUUGAAAAACUGACAUUGAGCAGGGCCUAGCUUAUGGUUGCCUUGGUAGGUUGGCGGGAAUACCCCGGAUUCUUUAGCAAGCCUGGCUGUUUUCCUUCUCAUACACAAAGUGGUCAAGCCUGCUCUUGGCAACCGCGAUUGACUGCAUUCACUCCCUUCCCUGAUUAUCUCAUCCAGAUAGGUCCAAGUGCCAUUCUGUUGUUACUUGCUUGCUAUUAGUAAUUGUGACUAUACUUCGAUAGUGAAGUAAUUUUGUUGUAAUUCUCUUAGUUACGUGUUUGUUUAUUCAUUUUUAUUAUGAUUUUUUGAGACAAAGUUUCGCUCUUGCCACCCAGGCUGGAAUGCAGUGGCACGAUCUUGGCUCACUGAAACUGCUGCAUCCUGGGUUCAAGCAAUUCUGCCUCAGCCUCCUGAGUAGCUGGGAUUACAGGUGCCCGCCACCACGCCCAGCUAAUUUUUUAUGCUUUUAGUACAGACGGGGUUUCCCCAUGUUGGCCAGGCUGGUCUUGAACUCCUAACCUCAGGUGAUUCGCCUGCCUCGGCCUCCCAAAGUUCUGGGAUUAUAGGCGUGAGCCACUGCACCUGGCUAAUUUUUUGUAUUUUUAGUAGAGAUGGGGUUUCACCAUGUUGGCCGGGCUGGUCUUGAACUCCUAACCUCAGGUGAUCACCCACCUCGCCCUCCCAAAGUGCUGGGAUUACAGGUGUGAGCCACCGUGCCUGGCUUAUAGUUAUGCAUUAAUAAAUGUCAGAGCUGCUGUGAUAAGUCACAAAGGCAGCACUAGAGCACAGUCACUGUACAGUCUUUGGAGUCAAACUGACCCAAGUUCAAACUUGGCUACACCACUGAACAGCCAUGUAAUUCUGAGCCAGUCACAUGACCUCUCUGAGCCUCAGUUUACUCAACUGAAGACAGAAUAACUACUUGUCUGGGUCAAUAUGGGAAUUAAAUGAAAUAAAGGAUAUAAAUCUGUUAGCACAGUGUCUAGGAUAUGUGGCCCACCAAAGAUAGACUGUUACUGGAGAUCUAUUUUUGGAACAAUCCAUAUUAGAGAUUGAUCUAGAAAAACUUGUAUUUGUUUCCUUACAUAGGAAGCAAGCUGUUCAUUUUAAUAAAUACAAAUUUAUAUUUCUAAGUGAGUGUAAGAGGAGUUUGUAUGAUUCACAGCUUGCGUGUCUACGACUGGGUUCAGAAGGAAAGCCAGGGCCUGUGCGUUUCUGAGGUUGGAGCAGACCCUGCCCUCCCGUGGGCAUCCUGUGCUCUCUGGUGGUGCUAUGAGCUGGACGGGUCAUUGCUUGGUAAGACCUUUCUCAUCUCUUCAUGGCUAAUUAGGAUGAAAACACUCAGCACGGAUCUGAAGAAUGUGCCCUAGGACUGGGACAGAGAAAAACAGGGUGAAGAAAGCAGGUGAAGAUCAGAGUUUGUUUUGAAUGUAACCAGCUUUGUGCAUCGCUGUUUACACUUGUGGAACAAAGGCCCUGGGGCAUGCUGUAGAAUUUCAGCCUCCCUAGUGGACGUUGGCCCUGCUGUCCCUCUUGGAGGAGCUGAGAUGCUGCCUGGCCCCCUUGCCCCCCAGACAUAGGCACUCACACACAGAAUGACUUCACGGCCCAGCCUCCUUGCUGCCUUUAACUCAGUGAAUCUGCUGUCGCACUGUUUGUUGACCUGGAGGUACAAACGCCUGAUUAUAGUACAAGGAGUUGUCUCUUCCCUGGGUAUUAAAAACAUUAUUAGGGGUCAAAAUCUCAAACCAAGAGAGCAGGCUCUGAUGGUUGGAUUGCAGCACUCAGCCUGUGGGCAGAGGAAGGGUUGGAGAUUCAGUGUCACAAUAAAUGCCUGGUCCUACCCAGAAGUUGACCCUGAAAAUGUUGAGUAUGGACCCUGAAUUGUCUUAGCAAAGCUGUGAUGAAAUGACAAGCUUAGCUUCAGGACUAAGUGGACUUGUUAGAAACCAGUUUCCUCUAUGAAUGGACUUGAUGGAAGGCCAAGCAUGUGAGGGAAGCCCCCAGCCUACCACGCCAUCUCCUGCUCGAAGCUUUUGGGAGUUUUCAGGAAAGUGCAGAGACUUGAGUUUCUGUAAAGCUGCCGGAUAGCUGUGAUCGUGACCUCAAAGUCCAUCCUCCUUCACGGUCUUCCUUCCGCUGGAAUUUGGUGUGAUUAAAAGGAUUUGGGCUUUAAGUCUGAGACACGUGGGUUUAAAUCCUCCUUCCUGCCUGCCUGCAUUCAGUCACUGGUCUCACAAAUAGGUGUAGGACAGAUACUCUGCGUGGGGUCUGGGGUUAUAGACAAGGCAGACGAGGGUCCUGACGCUGAGGGGGUUUACGUUUUAGCUGGAAUGACAUGCAAUGCAGUGGUAAGUUACAACAGGGAUUGUGACCAGGUAAGUGCAUGUCUAUGGAAAAACAAUGUGGCUGCGGGUCUGAGGGGGCUUUCGUGAGUGACUUAACUGAGUGCUGAAAUGUGGAAAGAGGGUAAGUGAGGGGGGUGGGAUGUAGGGAAGAGCAGCCAGAGAGAGAACAGCAUGUGCAAAGGCCCUGAGGCAAGAAGGAAUCUGGCCCAAGCAUGUGGCACUUCAGUUUACUACCUGCUUCCCUACAUUGCUCAAGAAGAGUGAGUUAGGCUGGGCACAGUGGCUCAGGCCUGCAAUCCCAGCAUUUUGGGAUGCCAGGGCUGGGGGAUGGCUUGAGGCCAGGGGUUUGAGACCAACCUGGGCAACAUAGCGGGACCCCCAUCUCUACAAAACAUUUUUAAAAAGUAUCCAAAGGCAGUGAUACACAUGUGUACUCCUAGCUACUCAGGAGGCUGGAGGAUUACUUGAGCACAGGAGGUCAAGGAUGCAGAGCUAUGAUUGCACCACUGCACACUGCACUUCAACCUGGGUGACAGUGUGAGCCCCUGUCAAAGAAAAAGUGCAUUGUAAAGAACAAUGAGUGUGAAGUGCCAUAUUGGCUGGCUCAUAAUAGGUCUUCUGUCCAAGGACUUUGAGUGUCCACCUCCUCCUUAUUAAAGCCCUCUCAAACUUUGCUUUUCUUGAAAAGAGUGGAAUUUAGAUGAUUUUGCAGCAAUUGGGAUCCAGGAAGCCAGAAGCCCCACAUAGCCCAGGACUGGCCUGUGAAUGAUAAAGAGGUGGAAUUGUGUUAUUGAGCAAACAAGUAGGUGGCAGAUGCUGCUGCCUCAACCAGCUCUUGGUGGGAUCGGCUACAAGGGUGUGCAUUUUCCACUGUACCUACCUUUGUCCAAAAAUUACUGGUUCCUUCCUCACACUGCAUGAACAAGCCACAUGACUAUAGGAUUUCUCAGAGAUAGGUCUCAACUGAGCCUUAAUUAUUCAUAUGGAUGGAUUAAUUAUGAUGAAUCAAGGGGUGCAGCAUGUGGGUUCACCAGUAAAACAAGAGCCCGUGUGGACAGAGUUUGGCAGAGACAGGACCUGCUGCUCCGCCCAAUUUAAUUUAAUGCAUGCCUGGGCAGAGGGGUUUCUUCAGUCCUGACUUACCCUUGACUUCCCGGCUACACUCUGUGGGUUUCAGGAGUGACUUCUCUAACACCUUCUGGACCAGGAGGAGAAGCAUUGUUAGGGCCUGUCCCCGGGGUCCUGGGCUCCAAGGCCGGGCUGUGUUGAUCUUGAAUUGAUGAUGGCUCUGCUGAGGUUGCUUUUGUGUUUGCUUCUUGAUCGCUUGUUGUGAAAUGUGUUCAGUAGUAGUCAUGAAGCAGAUCUUUGGCAUAAAUUUUCAUCCCAGCAAGCAGUGCAUGAAAUUGAAAAUCAGCAGAGCCAAGGAGAGGGAGCCCAGGCUCCCGACAAAUGUGGACUCCUUGGAGAUGUCCCACCUGGAUGGCGGGAACAGCCUCUCUGGGGCCUCUGAGUGCUCUGCUGCCCCACAUCACCUCCUCACCCUGGCAGAGCCCGGCUCUCUCCAGGGACUCCACUUUCCUUUCACUGCUUCCAGGGGAGGCUGCUAAUUUUCCGUGUCCUCCAAGAUUUGCACAUUACCACUUGCAGAUCAAAAGCUCUCUCCCGCACAAGCACCAGUAUCUCUGAGGCUCCAGCUCCGCCAACCUCCAUUCCAUCAUCCAGGGCCUCAUAGCUCCUCACAGUGCCCCCUCACUUGCAGGCAUGCUGACGGUGCAGCCUUAGCACCUCGUGCUCUAGCCCUCCAAACACACUGCCUUCUGCUGGCCUCAGACACGCACUCCCACAGCCACAAGCUGGACUCUGAUGAUAUGAAACUGCAACCUAUAAAAGAAUAAAAUCAAACCUGCCACUCUUUGGCUGCAACCUCUUGCUCUUUCUAGCUCAGUGUCCUACUGAUUCUAACUGCAAUCAAAAGCAUAUGUGUAUGUGUUUGUGUGCAUGUGUGUGUAUAUACAUAUGUGUAUA
Molecule: long non-coding RNA, 12370 nt
Filed under: Homo sapiens (human)
Lineage: Eukaryota; Metazoa; Chordata; Mammalia; Primates; Hominidae
Description: HSALNT0331881
Source: RNAcentral